AGUGAACGCUGGCGGUAGGCCUAACACAUGCAAGUCGAAUGGCAGCACAGGAGAGCUUGCUCUCUGGGUGGCGAGUGGCGGACGGGUGAGGAAUACAUCGGAACCUACCUUUUCGUGGGGGAUAACGUAGGGAAACUUACGCUAAUACCGCAUACGACCUACGGGUGAAAGUGGGGGACCGUAAGGCCUCACGCGAUUAG
This 200-nucleotide ribosomal RNA is filed under the name uncultured bacterium. Its description in RNAcentral is "partial 16S ribosomal RNA". It matches the Rfam family "Bacterial small subunit ribosomal RNA", at positions 29 to 224 of the family's 1533-position model. The record is from RNAcentral.